This is a ribosomal RNA of 375 nucleotides. It matches the Rfam family "Eukaryotic small subunit ribosomal RNA", at positions 582 to 975 of the family's 1831-position model.
AUUCCAGCUCCAAUAGCAUAUAUUAAAGUUGUUGCAGUUAAAAAGCUCGUAGUUGAACUUCUUGGCAUCCUUUAAGCUGGCUUCGGUCGUUUCAAGGGUGUCAAUCCGCUAGGGAACUACAUUCGCACUUCACUGUGCGGUGUAAGGAACUGGCAUUUUACUUAGAAAAAAUUAGAGUGUUCAAGGCAGGCUAUCGCCCUGAAUACACAAGCUUGGAAUAAUGAAAUAGGACUAUUUCCAUUUUAUUGGUUAUUGGAUUUAGUAAUGAUUAAUAGGGACAGUUGGGGGCAUUUGUAUUUAAUAGUCAGAGGUGAAAUUCUUGGAUUUAUUAAAGACAAACUUAUGCGAAAGCAUUUGCCAAGGAUGUUUUCAUCA